UGAAAAUCGGACUUAGUGAUCCGGUGGUUCUGCGUGGAAGGGCCAUCGCUCAACGGAUAAAAGCUACCCUGGGGAUAACAGGCUUAGCUCCCCCAAGAGUCCACAUCGACGGGGAGGUUUGGCACCUCGAUGUCGGCUCAUCACAUCCUGGGGCUGUAGUAGGUCCCAAGGGUUGGGCUGUUCGCCCAUUAAAGUGGUACGCGAGCUGGGUUCA
Molecule: ribosomal RNA, 214 nt
Filed under: Clostridioides difficile
Lineage: Bacteria; Bacillati; Bacillota; Clostridia; Peptostreptococcales; Peptostreptococcaceae
Description: partial 23S ribosomal RNA
Rfam family: Bacterial large subunit ribosomal RNA
Source: RNAcentral